ACUGCUCAGUAACACGUGGAUAACCUGCCCUUGGGUCCGGCAUAACCCCGGGAAACUGGGGAUAAUUCCGGAUAACGCAUAUGUGCUGGAAUGCUUUAUGCGUCAAAUGGAUUCGUCCGCCCAAGGAUGGGUCUGCGGCCUAUCAGGUAGUAGUGGGUGUAAUGUACCUACUAGCCAGCGACGGGUACGGGUUGUGAGAGCAAGAGCCCGGAGAUGGAUUCUGAGACAUGAAUCCAGGCCCUACGGGGCGCAGCAGGCGCGAAAACUUUACAAUGCGGGAAACCGUGAUAAGGGGACACCGAGUGUCAGCAUCAUAUGCUGGCUGUCCAGGUGUGUAAAAUACACCUGUUAGCAAGGGCCGGGCAAGACCGGUGCCAGCCGCCGCGGUAACACCGGCGGCCCGAGUGGUGAUCGUGAUUAUUGGGUCUAAAGGGUCCGUAGCCGGUUUGGUCAGUCCUCCGGGAAAUCUGAUAGCUCAACUAUUAGGCUAUCGGGGGAUACUACCAGGCUUGGAACCGGGAGAGGUAAGAGGUACUACAGGGGUAGGAGUGAAAUCUUGUAAUCCCUGUGGGACCACCUGUGGCGAAGGCGUCUUACCAGAACGGGUUCGACGGUGAGGGACGAAAGCUGGGGGCACGAACCGGAUUAGAUACCCGGGUAGUCCCAGCCGUAAACGAUGCUCGCUAGGUGUCAGGCAUGGCGCGACCGCGUCUGGUGCCGCAGGGAAGCCGUGAAGCGAGCCACCUGGGAAGUACGGCCGCAAGGCUGAAACUUAAAGGAAUUGGCGGGGGAGCAC
RNAcentral lists this ribosomal RNA (796 nucleotides) under uncultured archaeon. Its description in RNAcentral is "bacterial SSU rRNA". It matches the Rfam family "Archaeal small subunit ribosomal RNA", at positions 85 to 879 of the family's 1478-position model. The record is from RNAcentral.